CUGAGCUCUUUACUAAUGUUUAUGUGAAAGGUUAUGGAGUGGAGUCCUUCGGUGCUGAUAGAAAGGAGCUGAAGGCUUUUCUGCCCUGAAGCGAACCUGCCUAGUGGAGCCCCUUUGCACGGAAGCCUUGUCAAAGCUGGUGGAUUUUUCUCCCAAGUUUGAAAAUAAAAGGUGGAUUAGAAAAACCACUAUCUGCUCUGCUACCCGCUUUUGAGUUGCAUAGAGAUUUAUUCUGCUUUUUGAGUGUACAUCUUUCUUUCAUACAAUGGUUUUAUAUGUUCUCACUGUAGUAUACUUACGUUGGGAGAUCAAGCAGCUCUUUUGCCGG
RNAcentral lists this unclassified non-coding RNA (328 nucleotides) under Hevea brasiliensis (rubber tree). The record is from RNAcentral. Lineage: Eukaryota; Viridiplantae; Streptophyta; Magnoliopsida; Malpighiales; Euphorbiaceae.